Molecule: transfer RNA, 71 nt
Filed under: Bacteriophage sp.
Also listed under: 1 other name
Description: tRNA-Met
Rfam family: tRNA
About the family: Transfer RNA (tRNA) molecules are approximately 80 nucleotides in length. Their secondary structure includes four short double-helical elements and three loops (D, anti-codon, and T loops). Further hydrogen bonds mediate the characteristic L-shaped molecular structure. tRNAs have two regions of fundamental functional importance: the anti-codon, which is responsible for specific mRNA codon recognition, and the 3' end, to which the tRNAs corresponding amino acid is attached (by aminoacyl-tRNA synthetases). tRNAs cope with the degeneracy of the genetic code in two manners: having more than one tRNA (with a specific anti-codon) for a particular amino acid; and 'wobble' base-pairing, i.e. permitting non-standard base-pairing at the 3rd anti-codon position.
Source: RNAcentral
AGCAGAGUGGUGUAAAGGAAACAUACAAGUCUCAUAAACUUGUGAUUCAAGUUCGACUCUUGACUCUGCCA